RNAcentral lists this ribosomal RNA (497 nucleotides) under uncultured bacterium. RNAcentral describes it as "partial 16S ribosomal RNA". It matches the Rfam family "Bacterial small subunit ribosomal RNA", at positions 28 to 507 of the family's 1533-position model. The record is from RNAcentral.
GAUGAACGCUGGCGGCGUGCCUAAUACAUGCAAGUCGAGCGAACAGACGAGGAGCUUGCUCCUCUGACGUUAGCGGCGGACGGGUGAGUAACACGUGGAUAACCUACCUAUAAGACUGGGAUAACUUCGGGAAACCGGAGCUAAUACCGGAUAAUAUAUUGAACCGCAUGGUUCAAUAGUUAAAGACGGUUUUGCUGUCACUUAUAGAUGGAUACGCGCCGCAUUAGCUAGUUGGGAAGGUAACGGCUUACCAAGGCAACGAUGCGUAGCCGACCUGAGAGGGUGAACGGCCACACUGGAACUGAGACACGGUCCAGACUCCGACGGGAGGCAGCAGUAGGGAAUCUUCCGCAAUGGGCGAAAGCCGGACGGAGCAACGCGGCGUGAAUGAUGAAGGUCUUCGGAUCGUAAAGCUCUGUUAGUAGGGAAGAAGAAAUGUGUAAGUAACUAUGCACGUCUUGACGGUACCUGAACAGAAAGCCACGGCUAACUACGUG